Molecule: ribosomal RNA, 497 nt
Filed under: uncultured bacterium
Lineage: Bacteria
Description: partial 16S ribosomal RNA
Rfam family: Bacterial small subunit ribosomal RNA
Source: RNAcentral
UGGGGAAUAUUGCACAAUGGGCGCAAGCCUGAUGCAGCCAUGCCGCGUGUGUGAAGAAGGCCUUCGGGUUGUAAAGCACUUUCAGCGAGGAGGAAGGUGGUGAGCUUAAUACGCUCAUCAAUUGACGUUACUCGCAGAAGAAGCACCGGCUAACUCCGUGCCAGCAGCCGCGGUAAUACGGAGGGUGCAAGCGUUAAUCGGAAUUACUGGGCGUAAAGCGCACGCAGGCGGUUUGUUAAGUCAGAUGUGAAAUCCCCGGGCUCAACCUGGGAACUGCAUUUGAAACUGGCAAGCUAGAGUCUCGUAGAGGGGGGUAGAAUUCCAGGUGUAGCGGUGAAAUGCGUAGAGAUCUGGAGGAAUACCGGUGGCGAAGGCGGCCCCCUGGACGAAGACUGACGCUCAGGUGCGAAAGCGUGGGGCAGCAAACAGGAUUAGAUACCCUGGUAGUCCACGCUGUAAACGAUGUCGAUUUUGGAGGUUGUGCCCUUGAGGCGUGG